UUGUUAUGAUUUUCAUCAAUAAUACUCUGACUGUAGGUAUAAAGCUGAGUUUUAAGUGGUCCACCGGGGGAACCUCUGAGAGGUAAUUAUGGCGACCCCGAGGCAAACACAGGAUUGUGGUACAAUGGGUUGGAGGUCGGCUCGAAAGCCUUCACUCUGUAAUGAUCCCUCCGCAGGUUCACCUACGGAGA
RNAcentral lists this unclassified non-coding RNA (191 nucleotides) under uncultured fungus. RNAcentral describes it as "sequence contains ITS1". Lineage: Eukaryota; Fungi. The record is from RNAcentral.